AAGAGUCCAUAUCGACGGGAUGGUUUGGCACCUCGAUGUCGGCUCGUCGCAUCCUGGGGCUGGAGUCGGUCCCAAGGGUUGGGCUGUUCGCCCAUUAAAGCGGUACGCGAGCUGGGUUUAGAACGUCGUGAGACAGUUCGGUCCCUAUCCGCUGUGCGCGUAGGAGUCUUGAGAAGGGCUGUCCCUAGUACGAGAGGACCGGGACGGACGAACCUCUGGUGUGCCAGUUGUUCUGCCAAGGGCAUGGCUGGUUGGCUACGUUCGGGAGGGAUAACCGCUGAAAGCAUCUAAGCGGGAAGCCUGCUUCGAGAUGAGGACUCCCACCCACUUGAUGGGGUAAGGCUCCCAGUAGACGACUGGGUUGAUAGGCCGGAUCUGGAAGCACCGUGAGGUGUGGAGGUGACCGGUACUAAUAGGCCGAGGGCUUGUCCUCAGUUG
This 438-nucleotide ribosomal RNA is filed under the name Streptomyces diastaticus. Its description in RNAcentral is "partial 23S ribosomal RNA". It matches the Rfam family "Bacterial large subunit ribosomal RNA", at positions 2494 to 2925 of the family's 2925-position model. Lineage: Bacteria; Bacillati; Actinomycetota; Actinomycetes; Kitasatosporales; Streptomycetaceae. The record is from RNAcentral.